CCUACGGGAGGCAGCAGUGAGGAAUAUUGGUCAAUGGACGAGAGUCUGAACCAGCCAAGUAGCGUGAAGGAUGACUGCCCUAUGGGUUGUAAACUUCUUUUAUAUGGGAAUAAAACGUUCCACGUGUGGGAUUUUGUAUGUACCAUAUGAAUAAGGAUCGGCUAACUCCGUGCCAGCAGCCGCGGUAAUACGGAGGAUCCGAGCGUUAUCCGGAUUUAUUGGGUUUAAAGGGAGCGUAGGUGGAUUGUUAAGUCAGUUGUGAAAGUUUGCGGCUCAACCGUAAAAUUGCAGUUGAAACUGGUAGUCUUGAGUACAGUAGAGGUGGGCGGAAUUCGUGGUGUAGCGGUGAAAUGCUUAGAUAUCACGAAGAACUCCGAUUGCGAAGGCAGCUUACCAAACUAUAACUGACGUUGAGGCACGAAAGUGUGGGUAGCAAACAGGAUUAGAUACCCGAGUAGUC
RNAcentral lists this ribosomal RNA (460 nucleotides) under uncultured bacterium. RNAcentral's name for it is "partial 16S ribosomal RNA". It matches the Rfam family "Bacterial small subunit ribosomal RNA", at positions 338 to 795 of the family's 1533-position model. The record is from RNAcentral.